UGGGGAAUAUUGGACAAUGGGGGCAACCCUGAUCCAGCAAUGCCGCGUGUGUGAAGAAGGCCUUCGGGUUGUAAAGCACUUUAGUUGGGGAGGAAGAUUGGUAUUUUAAGAGAUAACCAAUUUGACUGUACCCAAAGAAUAAGCACCGGCUAACUCUGUGCCAGCAGCCGCGGUAAUACAGAGGGUGCGAGCGUUAAUCGGAAUUACUGGGCGUAAAGGGCGCGUAGGCGGUUAUUUAAGAUAGAUGUGAAAUCCCUGGGCUUAACCUAGGAACUGCAUCUGUGACUGGAUGACUGGAGUGCUGUAGAGGGUAGUGGAAUUUCCGGUGUAGCGGUGAAAUGCGUAGAUAUCGGAAGGAACACCAGUGGCGAAGGCGGCUACCUGGACAGACACUGACGCUGAGGCGCGAGAGCGUGGGGAGCAAACAGGAUUAGAUACCCCCGUAGUCC
This 449-nucleotide ribosomal RNA is filed under the name uncultured bacterium. RNAcentral's name for it is "bacterial SSU rRNA". It matches the Rfam family "Bacterial small subunit ribosomal RNA", at positions 355 to 796 of the family's 1533-position model. The record is from RNAcentral.